AUUGAACGCUGGCGGCAGGCCUAACACAUGCAAGUCGAACGGUAGCACAGAGAGCUUGCUCUCGGGUGACGAGUGGCGGACGGGUGAGUAACGUCUGGGAAACUGCCCGAUGGAGGGGGAUAACUACUGGAAACGGUAGCUAAUACCGCAUAACGUCGCAAGACCAAAGUGGGGGACCUUCGGGCCUCACACCAUCGGAUGUGCCCAGAGGGGAUUAGCUAGUAGGUGGGGUAAUGGCUCACCUAGGCGACGAUCCCUAACUGGUCUGAGAGGAUGACCAGCCAAACUGGAACUGUGACACGGUCCAGACUCCUACGGGAGGCAGCAGUGGGGAAUAUUGCACAAUGGGCGCAAGCCUGAUGCAGCCAUGCCGCGUGUAUGAAGAAGGCCUUCGGGUUGUAAAGUACUUUCAGCGGGGAGGAAGGCGGUGAAGUUAAUAGCUUCACCGAUUGACGUUACCCGCAGAAGAAGCACCGGCUAACUCCGUGCCAGCCGCCGCAGUAA
RNAcentral lists this ribosomal RNA (504 nucleotides) under uncultured bacterium. Its description in RNAcentral is "partial 16S ribosomal RNA". It matches the Rfam family "Bacterial small subunit ribosomal RNA", at positions 30 to 523 of the family's 1533-position model. The record is from RNAcentral.